Molecule: ribosomal RNA, 499 nt
Filed under: uncultured bacterium
Lineage: Bacteria
Description: partial 16S ribosomal RNA
Rfam family: Bacterial small subunit ribosomal RNA
Source: RNAcentral
GACGAACGCUGGCGGCGUGCCUAAUACAUGCAAGUCGAGCGAAGUUUUUCUGGUGCUUGCACUAGAAAAACUUAGCGGCGAACGGGUGAGUAACACGUAAAGAACCUGCCUCAUAGACUGGGACAACUAUUGGAAACGAUAGCUAAUACCGGAUAACAGCAUUAACUGCAUGGUUGAUGUUUAAAAGUUGGUUUUGCUAACACUAUGAGAUGGCUUUGCGGUGCAUUAGCUAGUUGGUGGGGUAAAGGCCUACCAAGGCGACGAUGCAUAGCCGACCUGAGAGGGUGAUCGGCCACACUGGGACUGAGACACGGCCCAGACUCCUACGGGAGGCAGCAGUAGGGAAUCUUCCGCAAAGGGCGAAAGCCUGACGGAGCAACGCCGCGUGAGUGAAGAAGGAUUUCGGUUCGUAAAGCUCUGUUGUUAGGGAAGAAUGAUUGUGUAGUAACUAUACACAGUAGAGACGGUACCUAACCAGAAAGCCACGGCUAACUACGUG